GACGAACGCUGGCGGCGUGCUUAACACAUGCAAGUCGAACGAUGAACCAGGGCUUGCCCUGGGGAUUAGUGGCGAACGGGUGAGUAACACGUGGGCAACCUGCCCCAGACACCGGGAUAACCUCUCGAAAGAGUGGCUAAUACCGGAUAUGACCACUUCGGGCAUCCGACGGUGGUGGAAAGGAUUCUGGUCUGGGAUGGGCCCGCGGCCUAUCAGCUAGUUGGUGGGGUAAUGGCCUACCAAGGCGACGACGGGUAGCCGGCCUGAGAGGGCGACCGGCCACACUGGGACUGAGACACGGCCCAGACCCCUACGGGAGGCAGCAGUGGGGAAUAUUGCGCAAUGGGCGAAAGCCUGACGCAGCGACGCCGCGUGAGGGACGAAGGUCUUCGGAUUGUAAACCUCUUUCAGCAGGGACGAAGCGAAAGUGACUGUACCUGCAGAGAAGCACCGGCUAACUACGUGCCAGCAGCCGCGGUAAU
This 482-nucleotide ribosomal RNA is filed under the name uncultured bacterium. Its description in RNAcentral is "bacterial SSU rRNA". It matches the Rfam family "Bacterial small subunit ribosomal RNA", at positions 28 to 524 of the family's 1533-position model. The record is from RNAcentral.